AUGGAUAAUUAUUGCAAUGCCUCGGGCCAGAGAAUAAACUUAUCAAAAUCCUCGGUGUUUUUCAGUAAGGGCUGCCCAACUUCUCUCAAAAUCGAGGUAAAGAAUGCAGUGAAUAUUACAAAUGAAUCGCUUACAGAUAGAUAUCUGGGAAUGCCAUCUGAUGUGGGUAAUUGUAAGAAUGGAGCUUUCAAAUUUUUAAAAGACAGAGUCUGGAACAAGGUAAAAGGGUGGACGGAGAAGCUUCCGUCAGCGGGAGGCAAAGAAGUUUUGAUUAAAUCUGUUGCACAGGCGGUCACUGCAUAUUCCAUGUCUUACUUCAAACUUCCCCGUGGCCUUUAUGAGCACAUUAACUCAUUGAUCGGAAAAUUUUGGUGGGGCAGCAAAGAAGGGCAGAGGAAGCCAAGUUGGGUCUCCUGGAGUACGAUGACUAGGCCGAAAUAUUGUGGAGGGCUUGGAUUUCAUGCCAUAGAGCUUUUCAAUCUAGCCCUCCUAGCCAGACAGGCGUGGAGAAUCUUAACGGGUCCAGUCUCCCUCAACGCUCGAGUACUGAAGGCCAAGUACCACCUUGGUGUUGAUUUUUUUAACUCUAAGUUGGGCUCGGCUCCUUCACAAAUCUGGCAGGCCACUAUGGAUGGCCUGGAUGUUCGCACCCAAGGGCUGAUCAGGCGCAUCGGUGAUGGACUCACCAGACACAUAUGGGAACGGAACUAG
RNAcentral lists this ribosomal RNA (711 nucleotides) under Triticum aestivum (bread wheat). RNAcentral's name for it is "partial small subunit ribosomal RNA". Lineage: Eukaryota; Viridiplantae; Streptophyta; Magnoliopsida; Poales; Poaceae. The record is from RNAcentral.